AUGACAAGCACUUUGAAAAGAGGGUGAAAAGAGCCUGAAACCGUCACGGGGGAAGCGGAUCGCGUUGGAUUGAUGGGCGCUUGCGUGUUCAGCCCUUUUGGGUGCAUUGGCGCAAGUUGCUUAUCCGCUGUGAGUUUUCGGGGGUCGAUUUUGGACCCCUGGGGACUGAGGGCUCCCUUUUAUAGGUUGAGGACAGCGGAGUGACGACGCGAUACGACCCGUCUUGAAACACGGACCAAGGAGUCUAGCGCGGGUGCGAGUCGGAGGGUGCAAGCCCGUGGGCGAAGUGAAAGCGAGUGUAAAAACGAGCAGUUUGGGGCGGCAUAAGAUCGUUGAUCUUAAGACCGACCCAGAGCAGUUGCGCUGGGACCCGAAAGAUGGUGAACUAUGCCGGAGUAGGGCAAAGCCAGAGGAAACUCUGGUGGAGGCUCGUAGCGGUGCUGACGUGCAAAUCGCUCGUCGAACUUGGGUAUAGGGGCGAAAGACUAAUCGAACCAUCUAGUAGCUGGUUCCCUCCGAAAUUUCUCUCAGGAUAGCGGGCCGACAAGUUGUUUUGUGC
This 559-nucleotide ribosomal RNA is filed under the name Mazzaella parksii. RNAcentral's name for it is "eukaryotic LSU rRNA". It matches the Rfam family "Eukaryotic large subunit ribosomal RNA", at positions 364 to 1006 of the family's 3401-position model. Lineage: Eukaryota; Rhodophyta; Florideophyceae; Gigartinales; Gigartinaceae. The record is from RNAcentral.